RNAcentral lists this ribosomal RNA (423 nucleotides) under uncultured bacterium. RNAcentral's name for it is "bacterial SSU rRNA". It matches the Rfam family "Bacterial small subunit ribosomal RNA", at positions 207 to 622 of the family's 1533-position model. The record is from RNAcentral.
AAGACCUUGCACUUUUGGAGCGGCCGAUGUCUGAUUAGCUAGUUGGUAGGGUAAUGGCCUACCAAAGCUUCGAUCAGUAGCUGGUCUGAGAGGACGACCAGCCACACUGGGACUGAGACACGGCCCAGACUCCUACGGGAGGCAGCAGUGGGGAAUUUUGGACAAUGGGGGCAACCCUGAUCCAGCCAUGCCGCGUGAGUGAAGAAGGCCUUCGGGUUGUAAAGCUCUUUCAGCCGGGAAGAAAAGGUUGCGACUAAUAAUCGCAAUCCAUGACGGUACCGAAAGAAGAAGCACCGGCUAACUACGUGCCAGCAGCCGCGGUAAUACGUAGGGUGCGAGCGUUAAUCGGAAUUACUGGGCGUAAAGGGUGCGCAGGCGGUUUUGUAAGUCAGAUGUGAAAUCCCCGGGCUUAACCUGGGAACU